GUGAAUCAUCGAAUCUUUGAACGCACAUUGCGCCUCUCGCAAGGGAGGCAUGCCUGUCUGAGCGUCAUUUAAAUCAUAAACCCCCUAUGGGUUUGUCAUGGGCCUCGCCUGCCUGGCGUUGCCUCAAAGUCAUUUGGUCUAAAAAGCGGACGAGAUCCUUUAGGACUAACCGUUUGGUGACCUGAAAACCUCUUGACUUGACCUCAGAUCAGGUAGGACUACCGCCUGAACUUAAGCAUAUCAAUAAGCGGAGGA
RNAcentral lists this unclassified non-coding RNA (255 nucleotides) under Archaeorhizomyces sp. RNAcentral describes it as "partial contains 5.8S ribosomal RNA, internal transcribed spacer 2, and large subunit ribosomal RNA". The stretch from base 1 to 67 matches the Rfam family "5.8S ribosomal RNA", at positions 84 to 154 of the family's 154-position model. The record is from RNAcentral. Lineage: Eukaryota; Fungi; Ascomycota; Archaeorhizomycetes; Archaeorhizomycetales; Archaeorhizomycetaceae.